GCAACUCUAUUGUAGGAACAAUAGGCUUCUUGAUUAGGCUUGAUCAGAGCCGUGCCAGUUCGAGUCUGGCGAGUUGCA
RNAcentral lists this transfer RNA (78 nucleotides) under Prunus conradinae. RNAcentral describes it as "tRNA-Gln". Lineage: Eukaryota; Viridiplantae; Streptophyta; Magnoliopsida; Rosales; Rosaceae. The record is from RNAcentral.